UGGCUCAAUGGUUAGAGCAUCGGCCUGCAGACCAGGGGGUCCCGGGUUCGAAUCCCGG
This 58-nucleotide transfer RNA is filed under the name Myotis davidii. It matches the Rfam family "tRNA", at positions 8 to 63 of the family's 71-position model. Rfam says of the family: Transfer RNA (tRNA) molecules are approximately 80 nucleotides in length. Lineage: Eukaryota; Metazoa; Chordata; Mammalia; Chiroptera; Vespertilionidae. The record is from Rfam by way of RNAcentral.